Molecule: long non-coding RNA, 2489 nt
Organism: Marmota monax (woodchuck)
Lineage: Eukaryota; Metazoa; Chordata; Mammalia; Rodentia; Sciuridae
Exons: 6
Source: RefSeq, a predicted model, not a curated record
CCCACUCAGGCCGCCCCGCCUCCUCGGCGCCGCGCAGGCGCCCAUUGGCCGGCGCCAACUCGUCACCUCCGGGGUCCGGCUCUCGCAGAGCUGAGGAGCGAAGGGGAAGGACUGGGCUGCUGCGGCCCAGCAGCCGUCCUCAAUGUUCCACACUUGGCAGCGCCCUCAGAUUCAGAUGUGCACUUCAGGCCUUGAGGACUAUGUGAUGGGGACUUUCAGUUCUGAUGUUGACAUCAUUAAUUCCCAGGUAGGCCCCUGUGUGGAUGAUUCUAGAUUCUUAGGCUACACUUGACUUAACAUGACCCUGGUCUUAUGCAAACUUUUCUAAAAGUUCCCAGGUAGAUUUUUAAAAAGAUGACAGUAAUUUUGCACUAGAGAAAGACAAAAUGCACCCAGACCCUCUGAAUGUAUUAGUAUCUUAAGGAUGCUGUAACAAAACACCACAAACUGGAUGGCAUAAAACAACAGAAACAAAUUUGCUAAGGCUGUCUUUGAACUUGGAAUUCUCCUGCCUCAGCCUCCCCAACUGCUGGGAAUACAAGUAUGCACCACUGUACCCAGCCAGGAAUGCAGAUGUUUCAAUUGUCAAGAAUGUAAAUGCAACACUCAGUCUGAAUGAUGGAACAAGUGCCACCCUGACCUGCUGUAAGAACAUCCAAGGCACCCAUAUGUCUUGGUCACCUUCACACCUGCUGCACCAGAAGGGACUUCUCUCCACUCCAGCCUGGACAAGGUUCUCACUUCUCCCAUUCAAGAUUUCAUUGGAUAUUCAAGCCAGUCCAGUAAAUUAAGACCAAAAAAAAAAAAAAAAAAAGAAUAAUCUACAGAUUUUAAAGGAAGAAGUAAAUAUGUGUUUAUUUGAAACAAUGUUCUUAUGGAAAUAGAAAAGUCUACGGAAUCUAGAAAAAAGUACUAGACCAGGUUACUUCUCCCAUGUGCACUUAUAUAAAGAUGCCAGCUUUGUUUUAGGAGGAAUACAGUGGUCCCCCUCCCCAUCUGCAAGGAUGUACUUCAAGACCAUUUGUAGAUGUCUGAAACUGCAGGUUAAGGCCAAUCAAACUCCCUCAGCACACAGCAAGAACCAAGGACAAACAUGAGGGGCUGACACACCAGGAUGUCUCCUCCUAUCUUGUAGUUCCACGAAGUCAGGAGACUGUCUCGUGCAUCCAAAAACCAUCUUGCAAAGAAGAAGGAAAAGCACUAAGAAAUCUGAGCAUUCAACCCUCCAGAAGAGGCAACUGAGUCCAGCAGAGCCUGGAUUCUGGGAGUGAUUCUAUAAUUUGGCAUAGUUGUUAGACAAACAUCACACCCAACACUGCUUCCCUGAAGGUUGCUGACAACACUAAAAACAAAUAUGGAUGGUUAUUUAUGUUUGUCUCAUCUGUUAACUUUGGCUUAAUGGAGAAUAUGGAGGCUCUGAAGCUAGUGAGGGAGCAGGAAAGAACAAGAGCAUUUCCCUUCCAUGCUGUAUCUCCAGGACAUUCUGUCCAAACUUUGUUGUUUCAGAGCUUUACCCCCAGGUGCUACUCUAUCGCUUUUCAUAAAAACUGACUAAAUAAAGUUACAUGGCUUCCAAGAGAGGCCUCUGUGCACCAGCACAUGGACAUAUUUAACAUACACGCUUUUAACCUUUAGCCUGUCCACAGCACUUCACACAUGUAGUGCAUCUGAAGGGUUUAAAAAAAUUUUUUUCAGGAAAAAAAAUGGUAGCUUCAAAUAGAACAUUACUUGGCCCUCAUAGGUCUAAAAUUUUUAGGAAGAACAAAUAAAUGUUUGUAUAUAUCAAACAUUUACAAAAACAAAAAUUUCCCUGUAUUUUAUUUGCCUUUAUACAAAUCUGGUUUGCAAGUCCCUUUACCGUGAUUUGAAUUGACCCAUUGGAUGGAACACAGGCCAAUUCCACCAGACUCCUGCCUAUGCCUAACAAUGGAAUUACAAAAAAAAAAAUAAAUAAAUAAAAUAAAAUAAACAAACCAAAAAACCAAAAAACAAAAACCUAGAUUCUGUGGGAAAAAAAAUGUAAGGGAAAGAUUUGCAUUGAACAUCUAUGAUGAUACUGCUGAUUUAUAGCAGGAGUUUAGAUAUUUUAAAUUAUUUAUUUCAAGUUUUUAAAAAACAUUUCUUGAAUUCAGUGAAUUUUAUAUAAUAUACUAUUUGGGAAAUUUCAGAGUUCACAUAAUCAGAGUCCCAUGUUGUAAGAAGCCAUGUGAUACCUUAAGGACAAAUCUAAACAUUUCUCCCAAUCUAAUCACUUUUAUGUAUUUAUCUUGCUGAUGCCUAUAAUAUAAAUUUAUACUAAUAACUAUAUGAGAAUGAGAGACAAGUAUCUUAAUGCUAAAAUAAUUACAGUAUUAAAAGUAUUAGGCAAAUUAUUUCCUGGUUCCAACAACAGAUGAGGACAGUCUUCAUGAUCUGAGGAAAUAUGCUCGAUUGCUCGGUGCUGAAAAGGCUGAGAAUUACAGAGAAAAAAAAUAAACAAUUCAAUCAGU